GGGACCUGAUGCAGCCAUGCCGCGUGUGUGAAGAAGGCCUUCGGGUUGUAAAGCACUUUCAGUUGUGAGGAAAAGUUAGUAGUUAAUACCUGCUAGCCGUGACGUUAACAACAGAAGAAGCACCGGCUAACUCCGUGCCAGCAGCCGCGGUAAUACGGAGGGUGCGAGCGUUAAUCGGAAUUACUGGGCGUAAAGCGCACGCAGGCGGUUUGUUAAGCUAGAUGUGAAAGCCCCGGGCUCAACCUGGGAUGGUCAUUUAGAACUGGCAGACUAGAGUCUUGGAGAGGGGAGUGGAAUUCCAGGUGUAGCGGUGAAAUGCGUAGAUAUCUGGAGGAACAUCAGUGGCGAAGGCGACUCCCUGGCCAAAGACUGACGCUCAUGUGCGAAAGUGUGGGUAGCGAACAGGAUUAGAUACCCUGGUAGUCCACACCGUAAACGCUGUCUACUAGCUGUGUGUGCCUUUAAGGCGUGCGUAGCGAAGCUAACGCGCUAAGUAGACCGCCUGGGGAGUACGGCCGCAAGGUUAAAACUCAAUG
RNAcentral lists this ribosomal RNA (536 nucleotides) under Alteromonas sp. RNAcentral's name for it is "bacterial SSU rRNA". It matches the Rfam family "Bacterial small subunit ribosomal RNA", at positions 374 to 906 of the family's 1533-position model. The record is from RNAcentral. Lineage: Bacteria; Pseudomonadati; Pseudomonadota; Gammaproteobacteria; Alteromonadales; Alteromonadaceae.